GACGAACGCUGGCGGCGUGCUUAACACAUGCAAGUCGAACGGAAAGGCCCUGCUUUUGUGGGGUGCUCGAGUGGCGAACGGGUGAGUAACAAGUGAGUAACCUGCCCUUGACUUUGGGAUAACUUCAGGAAACUGGGGCUAAUACCGGAUAGGAGCUCCUGCUGCAUGGUGGGGGUUGGAAAGUUUCGGCGGCUGGGGAUGGACUCGCGGCUUAUCGGCUUGUUGGUGGGGUAGUGGCUUACCAAGGCUUUGACGGGUAGCCGGCCUGAGAGGGUGACCGGCCACAUUGGGACUGAGAUACGGGCCAGACUCCUACGGGAGGCAGCAGUGGGGAAUAUUGCACAAUGGGCGGAAGCCUGAUGCAGCAACGCCGCGUGCGGGAUGACGGCCUUCGGGUUGUAAACCGCUUUCGCCUGUGACGAAGCGUGAGUGACGGUAAUGGGUAAAGAAGCACCGGCUAACUACGUG
RNAcentral lists this ribosomal RNA (468 nucleotides) under uncultured bacterium. Its description in RNAcentral is "partial 16S ribosomal RNA". It matches the Rfam family "Bacterial small subunit ribosomal RNA", at positions 28 to 507 of the family's 1533-position model. The record is from RNAcentral.